RNAcentral lists this Y RNA (96 nucleotides) under Microcebus murinus (gray mouse lemur). RNAcentral describes it as "Y RNA (ENSMICG00000046340.1)". It matches the Rfam family "Y RNA". From Rfam's summary of the family: Y RNAs are components of the Ro ribonucleoprotein particle (Ro RNP), in association with Ro60 and La proteins. The Y RNAs and Ro60 and La proteins are well conserved, but the function of the Ro RNP is not known. In humans the RNA component can be one of four small RNAs -- hY1, hY3, hY4 and hY5. Lineage: Eukaryota; Metazoa; Chordata; Mammalia; Primates; Cheirogaleidae. The record is from Rfam by way of RNAcentral.
GGCUGGUCCGAUGGCAGUGAGUUAUCAGAGGUUAUUAACAUUAGUGUCACUAAAGUUGGUAUUCAACCCCCCACUGCUAAAUUUGACUGGCUUUAA